AUUGAACGCUGGCGGCAGGCCUAACACAUGCAAGUCGAACGGUAACAGGAAGAAGCUUGCUUCUUUGCUGACGAGUGGCGGACGGGUGAGUAAUGUCUGGGAAACUGGCCUUGAUGGAGGGGGAUAACUACUGGAAACGGUAGCUAAUACCGCAUAACGUCGCNAAGACCAAAGAGGGGGACCUUCGGGCCUCUUGCCAUCGGAUGUGCCCAGAUGGGAUUAGCUAGUAGGUGGGGUAACGGCUCACCUAGGCGACGAUCCCUAGCUGGUCUGAGAGGAUGACCAGCCACACUGGAACUGAGACACGGUCCAGACUCCUACGGGAGGCAGCAGUGGGGAAUAUUGCACAAUGGGCGCAAGCCUGAUGCAGCCAUGCCGCGUGUAUGAAGAAGGCCUUCGGGUUGUAAAGUACUUUCAGCGGGGAGGA
This 427-nucleotide ribosomal RNA is filed under the name uncultured Escherichia sp. Its description in RNAcentral is "bacterial SSU rRNA". It matches the Rfam family "Bacterial small subunit ribosomal RNA", at positions 30 to 448 of the family's 1533-position model. Lineage: Bacteria; Pseudomonadati; Pseudomonadota; Gammaproteobacteria; Enterobacterales; Enterobacteriaceae. The record is from RNAcentral.